This is a non-coding RNA of Brachypodium distachyon (stiff brome), 136 nucleotides long. The record is from Rfam. Lineage: Eukaryota; Viridiplantae; Streptophyta; Magnoliopsida; Poales; Poaceae.
UGUGUACUCCCUCCGUCCAACAAAAGAUGUCUUAAAUUUGUCAAAAUUUGAAUGCAUCUAAAUAUGACUUAGUGUAUAGAUGCAUUCAAAUUUAGUCAAAGUUGAGACAUUCUUUGUUGGACGGAGGGAGCAUAUA